Molecule: ribosomal RNA, 253 nt
Filed under: uncultured bacterium
Lineage: Bacteria
Description: partial 16S ribosomal RNA
Rfam family: Bacterial small subunit ribosomal RNA
Source: RNAcentral
UACGAAGGGGGCUAGCGUUGUUCGGAAUUACUGGGCGUAAAGGGCGCGUAGGCGGUGUGUCAAGUCAGGCGUGAAAGCCCCGGGCUCAACCUGGGAACCGCGCUUGAGACUGGCACGCUCGAGUUCGGGAGAGGAUGGUGGAAUUCCCAGUGUAGAGGUGAAAUUCGUAGAUAUUGGGAAGAACACCGAUGGCGAAGGCGGCUCACUGGACCGGUACUGACGCUGAAGCGCGAAAGCGUGGGGAGCAAACGGG